AGUGAACGCUGGCGGUAGGCCUAACACAUGCAAGUCGAACGGCAGCACAGUAAGAGCUUGCUCUUACGGGUGGCGAGUCGCGGACGGGUGAGGAAUACAUCGGAAUCUACUUUUUCGUGGGGGAUAACGUAGGGAAACUUACGCUAAUACCGCAUACGACCUACGGGUGAAAGCAGGGGAUCUUCGGACCUUGCGCUAUUGAAUGAGCCGAUGUCGGAUUAGCUAGUUGGCGGGGUAAAGGCCCACCAAGGCGACGAUCCGUAGCUGGUCUGAGAGGAUGAUCAGCCACACUGGGGCUGAGACACGGUCCAGACUCCUACGGGAGGCAGCAGUGGGGAAUAUUGGACGAUGGGCGCAAGCCUGAUCCAGCCAUACCGCGUGGGUGAAGAAGGCCUUCGGGUUGUAAAGCCCUUUUGUUGGGAAAGAAAAGCAGCAGGUUAAUACCCCGCUGUUCUGACGGUACCCAAAGAAUAAGCACCGGCUAACUUCGUG
RNAcentral lists this ribosomal RNA (492 nucleotides) under uncultured bacterium. Its description in RNAcentral is "partial 16S ribosomal RNA". It matches the Rfam family "Bacterial small subunit ribosomal RNA", at positions 29 to 507 of the family's 1533-position model. The record is from RNAcentral.